This 859-nucleotide ribosomal RNA is filed under the name Pseudogymnoascus pannorum. Its description in RNAcentral is "eukaryotic LSU rRNA". The stretch from base 191 to 344 matches the Rfam family "5.8S ribosomal RNA". The record is from RNAcentral. Lineage: Eukaryota; Fungi; Ascomycota; Leotiomycetes; Thelebolales; Thelebolaceae.
CUGCGGAAGGAUCAUUACAGUAGUCGCCCGGGUUGCCGCAAGGCCUCCCGGGUAACCUACCACCCUUUGUUUAUUACACUUUGUUGCUUUGGCAAGCCUGCCCUCGGGCUGCUGGCUCCGGCCGGCGAGCGCUUGCCAGAGGACCUAAACUCUGUUUGUCUAUACUGUCUGAGUACUAUAUAAUAGUUAAAACUUUCAACAACGGAUCUCUUGGUUCUGGCAUCGAUGAAGAACGCAGCGAAAUGCGAUAAGUAAUGUGAAUUGCAGAAUUCAGUGAAUCAUCGAAUCUUUGAACGCACAUUGCGCCCCCUGGUAUUCCGGGGGGCAUGCCUGUCCGAGCGUCAUUACAACCCUCAAGCUCAGCUUGGUGUUGGGCCCCGCCGCCCCGGCGGGCCCUAAAGUCAGUGGCGGUGCCGUCCGGCUCCGAGCGUAGUAAUUCUUCUCGCUCUGGAGGUCCGGUCGUGUGCUCGCCAGCAACCCCCAAUUUUUUUCAGGUUGACCUCGGAUCAGGUAGGGAUACCCGCUGAACUUAAGCAUAUCAAUAAGCCGGAAGAAAAUUACAGUAGUCGCCCGGGUUGCCGCAAGGCCUCCCGGGUAACCUACCACCCUUUGUUUAUUACACUUUUGUUGCUUUGGCAAGCCUGCCCUCGGGCUGCUGGCUCCGGCCGGCGAGCGCUUGCCAGAGGACCUAAACUCUGUUUGUCUAUACUGUCUGAGUACUAUAUAAUAGUUAAAACUUUCAACAACGGAUCUCUUGGUUCUGGCAUCGAUGAAGAACGCAGCGAAAUGCGAUAAGCUAAUGUGAAUUGCAGAAUUCAGUGAAUCAUCGAAUCUUUGAACGCACAUUGCGCCCCUGGGU